AUAAGGUCCCUCCUGAGCCUCCUUUUCUCCAGGCUGAGCCCCCUCAGCUCCCUCAACUGCUCCUCAACAGACUUGUGCUCCAGACCCUUCCCCAGCUCUGUUGUCCUUCUCUGAACACGCUCCAGCUCCUCAGUGUCUUUCUUAUCACGGGCAGCCCAAAACUGAACACAGGAUUCAAGGUGUGGUCUCACCAGUGCCCAGCCCAGAGGGACAAUCCCUGUCCUGGCCCUGCUGCCCACACUGUUGCUGAUACAGACCGGGAUGCCAUUGCCCUUCUUGCCCACCUGGGCACACCCUGGCUCACGUUCAACCCUGGCUGGGAAGAAGUUGCCAGGCCCUGUAUGGUGUCAUAUGGGUGAUGACUGUAUGUUGUUGAUCAGCAUAGUUCCUGAGACAGCCAAGACCACAUAUUGUGAGACAGCAAAUAACUCAGUGACAAUAAUCUCAGUCAGAGUAUUAAUACUAAUUACCUCAAAUAUAUGUUGGCCUGAAUCCAAGUGCAGUUAGAGACAGUUUCAUGCCACUCUUAAGUCAGAGAGAAUCAGGUGCUGACAUGCCCCAGCCUGGCCUUAAGGACUAAUUUGGUUUAUGUGUGAAUACUCAACUGAUUCAAGGCAGAUGCUCUGAGUUGUAAUUUGGGUCAAGCACUUAGUUCCUAGAGGGGACAAGAACUGUGACAGGAAAGAAGAAACACAUAUUCUUUAUGACAAAACAAUGUAUGAGUUUCAGUUAUCAUGUAUUUAUUAUCACCCAUCCAAGGCAAUCAAAAUAUAAUUAUUUCAAAAUGUAGCAGACUAAAAUGGCAAGAGGAACACUUUAUAUGGGAAUAUAUGUCUUGGGAAUUCUGAGUGACCCACUGACAUUUGUGGCCCUGGGUGAUUUUAAAAAGUUAUAUUUGAAGGAAAGAUGGAAGAAAUGGGUAGAGUUUUGUUCCAAUUAAAUCAAUUUAAAGUUGCUGGAACAGAAGAAGAGGAAUCAAAAUUCCAAUCAGAAUUCAUCAUGCUGGUGGAGUACAGGAAGUAAUUUUCAAUGCCCAUGAUCCCUCAGAUAAGGCUUGUGGGAUAGUGACAAUCCACUCGUCUUACAAGUGUAAAUCCUGCUUCAGGGAAUAUUUACAGUUCAAGGGGCAGUCUCAGGUUUCUGUGCAGAGCAUAAGGAACGUGGAUUGGUUCUGCUGAUCAUGCUUGUGCAAAAUUUAGGCACAUAUGCAGGAAAACGUGCAUGUUCAAAGGUGCCUGCACUUCAUUUGUAAAUGAAAAGUGUAUCUUCAUUCCAUAUGUAACAUGACAAAUCGAGAGGAUCCAAAAAAAAACCCCAAAACUCUGCCUGUCUUGCACUUCUAGUGUUGUAAAUGCUAAAAAAGUGUUCAACCUUCUUUCAAAAUGUGGCUCUGACUGCCUUCAGCAGCACCAUUUCUUGGAGCAAUAAUGAUCCAAAUGAGGGUGACUCAGCAUCCAAGUGCCUUUGAAGAUGCCAAUUUAUUUCUUUAAAAUUAUAUUUCCGUCUUCUCAAGGGGGAAUCUCAGCACUAAGACAUGUAAAUAAUCAGAUUGAUAAAGGGAGUGUUUUACUAAGUUGAAUAUGUCUAAAAAAUUAGUCCUGAAUCAAUGAAGUAAUUAAUUAUUCUUUAGCUGUAUUAAGUGUAUGUAAAUAUGUUGGUCCAGUUAUCUAUGUUUUGGUUCAUCUCAACUAGUUUUCAGGGAUUAUAUCCAGCUCUGUAACACGUGACUUAACUUUAGAUGUGUACAUGUAGAUAUGCAUAUAUACCUCAGUGAAUAAAUGUGUGUUGUAGUCAGUGAAUUAAUUAGUCAGUUCAGUCCACUGUAUCUAGGCAACUAAAAAUCUGAAAAAUCACUACAGACAUAACUGAUGUGUCUAAACAUGUUUUUAGUGUAACUUGAGAUGCCUCAGGUUAUGCUGCCGAACCUCCAGCUGAGGAUCCAUGGACCUCCAAAAAGUUGCUGCUGAUAUUUUUCAGGUGAAGAGAAAUGGCUCAGGAACCACAGAGCACACAAAAAUUAAAUUACUUCCUCGGAAGAAGAGCACAGAUCUUUUUUUGACAACUCUUUUCUCACCUCAUUAUUUCUCCAUCACAAUAACUAAAGCUGUCAGAUUCCUGAUGGAAAGCUGCAAGGAAAGCAUGUUGCAAGCAGCUGGUCUUCACAAGGCUGUUGUAACCCCCUCUCCCCAAAUGUAGAAUCCACAAACAAAAUAAAACAAGGCAGAAAAGACA
Long non-coding RNA from Pseudopipra pipra, 2232 nucleotides. RefSeq lists it as uncharacterized. The record is from RefSeq and is a predicted model, not a curated record. NCBI's taxonomy places the organism in Eukaryota, Metazoa, Chordata, Aves, Passeriformes, Pipridae. The transcript has 2 exons.